Candidatus Moranbacteria bacterium CG2_30_45_14 is the source of this 265-nucleotide non-coding RNA. Lineage: Bacteria; Candidatus Moraniibacteriota. The record is from Rfam.
AAGAAGGUUACUUAACGCAUGGUGUGGAUGCCUUGACUGAAGCAAGCGAUGAAGGACGUAGGAGGCUGCGAUAAGCCCCGGGGAGCUGUCAACCAAGCUUUGAUCCGAGGAUUUCCGAAUGAGGCAACUCUCUCACUUUUUAGUGAGAAACCGUAUCUGAAUACAUAGGGUACGGUAGCGCACCCUGGGAAUUGAAACAUCUUAGUACCAGGAGGAAAAGAAAUUAAUAAAGAUUCCGUAAGUAGUGGCGAGCGAACGCGGAAUA